CUGAGGCUACAAAGAUAGAACGGAUGGGUUGCCAAAAAAAAAAAAAGGAAAAAGGAAAAAAAGAAAGGAUGGGUUGCAAAUUCAGGUGACCAAGCAGGAAACACAUUUUCCUUCUAUAGGAGAAAUCUCCCCUGGUGCCUUUAUAGCUCACAAUUGAAACCCUACCUUCUUUAACAUACGAUGAGCAUUUUUCAUAAAGCUGCCCUCACCCAAGUAGUUGAAAAACGGACAACCGUUUUUCAAAAUGACUCGUUAGAGGACAGCAGGGCAACUUAAUAGAGAAGUGCCGUUUAGUGUCAACGCUCCUACGGUGUUGGCGGCACUAGCCAUGCAAGUGCCCACACCUCCCUCAGUCCUCAGUUACCCACACUGGCUGUAACACACAGAGUCCUACCUUGCUUGCUUCCUUCCCUAAAGGAAGAAAGGUUGUCAUGUGACUUUCAAGCAAUUGGUGCAGGAUACGUGGACGCACAGCAUCUAGCCAGGAAGACUUCCACAUUUUUUGGUUUCAAAAGGAUAUGAUAGAUCUGCAGUUCUUUUAAGCAUAGCAUUUCUAAAGACAUGGUCACAGCUGCCUGAAGCAUGUCUUCUUCACUCAUAGCAUCACCUGUUGGGAAACAAAACCACAUUUCUUAAAAAUUUCCAGAAAAUUCUCAAAGUCAUCAAAAGGUCAGGCAUCCUAAAUCUGAGAAUCGGAAAUCCAAAUGCUCCAAAAUCAGAAACUUUUUGAGCACCAACAUGAUACUCAAAAGAGGUGCUCAGUGGAACACUUCAGAUUUAAGAUUUUGGAUUUGGAAUGCUUAACUGGCCUACAGGACUGCCUGAAGCGGCCAUGAGCAGCUACAUGAACUACCACGUCUAUUUGGGAAUGUGCUCCCAUACCUCCAAAGCUGUUUUUCUAACUGAUUGGUAGAGGAAUUUUGCAGGGUUAAUAAGAGAUGGGGUCUUGUGCCAUUGCCCAGGCUGGUCCUGAACUCCGUGAGCUCAAGCAAUCCUCCUGCCUUGGCCUCCAAAAGUGCUGGGAUUACAGACAUGAGCCACUGCAUCUGGCCUCUGAAAUGUUUUGACAUCUGUAUACUGUACUCCCAUGAAACCAUUACUACAACCAAGAUAGUGAACACAUUCAUCACUGCCACGUUUCCCGUGCCUCUCUGUAACCCUCCCCUCUCACUCCUCCGUAGCCUUCUCGUCCCCAGGCAACCACUGGUCAAUCUGCUUUCCAUCACUACAGAUGAAUCUGCACUUUUCUAGACUUUUAAUAAAUGAUACCAUACAGCAUGUAGUAUUUUGUUUCUGGGUUAUUCUUUCAGCAUAAUUAUUUUGACAUUCAUCCAUAUUGCUGCAUGUAUCACUAGUUUAUUCUUUUUUACUGUCCUAGCUGGUUUUCAAUAACCCUCUUUCAAAGAUUCAAAAUUCGAAUAAAAAGGACGUUAAAUGAUUCUGUUUCUUAAAAUAGCUUGCUCAAGACAUAUUUCAUGUUUUAUUUUAAAAAUAGAAGUGAUUUUCUGUAGAUGUAUGUAUUACAUGGCUUUUGGAAACAUAUGAAUAAUCUUACACUAAAGCAAACAUAAUUGAAUGCUUUAUUCAUGCUUGACAUUAUUUCAGGCUUUGUAACAGCACUAUGCUAAAUACAAAUCUAUAAAUGUAAUAAUUAACUGACAGAACAUAGUCAUCACAUAAAAACCCACUUAAAAGUAACCACAUUUGUAUUAUCUUUAAUAUAGAAUUUUUCUUAUGAUAUAGUUAAAUUGCAUAUACUUGUCACAAAUAAAUUUAUAAGGAAAACUGAUAUUAUCUUUUAAAAUGACAAAUUUCUAUCUAUCAAGAUAGAUAAACCAUGCCACACACACACACACAUUACUGGUCAGUUUCCUAAUUUUAAAGUCAGUAAUCCUUUUUUUUUUUUAAAUUUUUAAAUAUUUUUUUUCUUUUUAUGUUUUAUAAAACAGAGUCUUACUCUGUCACCCAGGCUGGGGUACACUGACACAAUCAUGGUUCAUUGCAGCCUCAAACUC
This is a long non-coding RNA of Pongo pygmaeus (Bornean orangutan), 2015 nucleotides long. RefSeq lists it as uncharacterized. The record is from RefSeq and is a predicted model, not a curated record. The transcript has 5 exons. Lineage: Eukaryota; Metazoa; Chordata; Mammalia; Primates; Hominidae.